RNAcentral lists this unclassified non-coding RNA (299 nucleotides) under Hevea brasiliensis (rubber tree). Lineage: Eukaryota; Viridiplantae; Streptophyta; Magnoliopsida; Malpighiales; Euphorbiaceae. The record is from RNAcentral.
GCAAUUCUAUUAUUGUCUGUCUUCCUCAACCUCCUGAUUGCACUGACACCAGCCUUGCUCAGAUAAUGGCAUGCCAAAUCACUAAGCCCUUUCUCCGUGAUAACCAAAUCUGGUUUGAAUCUUAGUAUCUGCAUGCACAUGUUCUCGAUAUAUUCCUCUUCCAUUUUCAGUAGGACUCCCCAGUCUUCUUCUUUAACCAACUCCGCAUUUGUUUGGUUCUCACCUUUCUUGUACUCAAGAGGACAAUCAAGAAGAAUAAUACGUGGAUUUACAAUCUUUCUCCUCAUUUUGCCAGGGGC